UACGUAGGGUGCGAGCGUUGUCCGGAAUUAUUGGGCGUAAAGAGCUCGUAGGCGGUUUGUCGCGUCGACUGUGAAAACCUACAGCUUAACUGUGGGCUUGCAGUCGAUACGGGCAGACUUGAGUUCGGUAGGGGAGACUGGAAUUCCUGGUGUAGCGGUGAAAUGCGCAGAUAUCAGGAGGAACACCGGUGGCGAAGGCGGGUCUCUGGGCCGACACUGACACUGAGAGACGAAAGCUAGGGGAGCGAACAGG
RNAcentral lists this ribosomal RNA (253 nucleotides) under uncultured bacterium. Its description in RNAcentral is "partial 16S ribosomal RNA". It matches the Rfam family "Bacterial small subunit ribosomal RNA", at positions 524 to 776 of the family's 1533-position model. The record is from RNAcentral.